CCUACGGGAGGCAGCAGUGAGGAAUAUUGGUCAAUGGGCGCGAGCCUGAACCAGCCAAGUAGCGUGAAGGAUGACUGCCCUACGGGUUGUAAACUUCUUUUAUAAAGGAAUAAAGUGAGGCACGUGUGCCUUUUUGUAUGUACUUUAUGAAUAAGGACAGGCUAACUCCGUGCAAGCAGCCGCGGUAAUACGGAGGAUCCGAGCGUUAUCCGGAUUUAUUGGGUUUAAAGGGAGCGUAGAUGGGGUGGUAAGUCAGUUGUGAAAGUUUGCGGCUCAACCGUAAAAUUGCAAUUGAUACUGGCAGGCUUGAGUACAGUUGAGGUAGGCGGAAUUCGUGGUGUAGCGGUGAAAUGCUUAGAUAUCACGAAGAACUCCGAUUGCGAAGGCAGCUUACUAAACUGCCACUGACAUUGAUGCUCGAAAGUGUGGGUAGCAAACAGGAUUAGAUACCCGAGUAGUC
Molecule: ribosomal RNA, 460 nt
Filed under: uncultured bacterium
Lineage: Bacteria
Description: partial 16S ribosomal RNA
Rfam family: Bacterial small subunit ribosomal RNA
Source: RNAcentral